Long non-coding RNA from Bombyx mori (domestic silkworm), 3611 nucleotides. RefSeq lists it as uncharacterized. The transcript is spliced from 2 exons. NCBI's taxonomy places the organism in Eukaryota, Metazoa, Arthropoda, Insecta, Lepidoptera, Bombycidae. The record is from RefSeq and is a predicted model, not a curated record.
GUAAUUUUUACAUUGACGGACUUAAUGCCUAAGGCGCCCUAAGGCAUUUUCUAACAGUCAACCAAUUUAACAUUCUAUGUACAUUGAGGAAAAAUCCUUAAUCCUAGACUUAUAUAACGGAAUAAACAAAUUUAUUGAAUGUGUAUGACGGCGUUAACAAUAUUUCUAAUAAACAUCACGUGCAACAGGCGUGACUCACACAAGCCGGGUGCGCCGGCCGUGUCGUUCCACUCGUGCAACAGAAGUGACUCAUAAGCCAGCUGCGCCGGCUAGUAUAAAAAGGCGGUGCGUGCCUUGCGAGAAACAUUCGUUGGACUGCGCUUGCCUGGUGCACUUACUAUAUCCUUGUUACGUUGUGUGAUUCAGUGACUGUUGUACGUACUGGUUAAAGUUGGACAAGUGUUAAAGUGAAUUGUUAAGAUAACAUAUUGUUGAUUAAAUCAGGAAUCAAAAAGUGACAUCGUUUUACUUGGUGUUCAACAAGAUAAUAUCUACCCUCUAGCUUACAUCAGAAGUGGGAUCAGGACUCUACUCUCACUGGCGUGACGUGUUUGAACAUGUUCGAAGUACAGCAAAAAAAACAUGAUGCAGAUCAGAAUACUAGUAGUGGUACGCCACAAGAGCGUGAAUGCAGCAUACGUAAGUCGUGUAAUAACGUCUCUGUUACCUCGAUGGAAGAUCUGAGCCACGAAGAAAUCGUCACAUCUUACGUUCUGGCUCAUGUUGCCCAGUUGACUCUCGACUUAUCACAUGGCAUUUACUAGCGGAAAUACAACACGUAACAAGCUAUUGCAAGAAAUUAAGGCAAGUGCAAAUCUCAAGUGAAACUUCGAUCGCAAUAAUGGAUCUGUCAUGACGAGUGGGUAGUUCCGACACGAAUCGUUUUUAAGCCAAUGACUACUGCUAGAGUUACAUGGCACUAGUACAGUAAACCAGGACAUGAGACUGUGAAUUGUCGCUGAAAUUUUAGAAUCUACUCGAUUCAAUACCAAUAACACUACACGUUCGAUGACUUCGGGCUCCAGCAAGCAAGCAAACAAGAAAGCAAGCAAGUUUCCGUGGGGAAGAAAAAUUGACACAUCUGAAGUCGUCGUGACCUGUAAGAUAAGACGUCCGGUGCGUUCGUGUCUGGCGAUGCGGCGGUGUUCGGAUUCCGCUGGCGCAUGCAGGUUUUUCCGGUGAAGUGCGUGCUUGUGCGUGCUUGACAAGUGUUCGCGGUUGGCUUCCUCAGUGUGGGAGUAACAUCGUGUAAGAGAGGUGGAACCCGUAAAAUUGUAGUUUGCGUGGUGGCUGGUAAGAUUUGUUGCGGUAAGAAGUUUGCAUGGUGGUAAAAUGUCUUGUGAGUCUGCACAGGUAGCCGGAGGUGAGACUUCCGCGGUCGCGGCCCACCCAGUCCGCGAGAACCGGGCAGAUCGCCUCGACGGUACGGAGGCCGGCUGACGGGUCCGCCAAACGACGAGACCACGCCUCCAGCACGGACUGCCGAUAUUGGAGCCCCCGCGCUCCGGCUGCACUUGCGCUAGGGCGCGCCGCCUCGUAGGAGACUGUGAGCCUGCAAAACCUGAACAACCUCCUCAUCCGUGGGCGCCCGGCUCUCGCCUGCAAGUCGGCUGUUACGUGUACGGUGAUGCGAGCCAUGUAGCUUCUGGGUGUUCCAUGCGCUACAAGAAGAAAAACGACACUGCUCCAGGUGCUGUGGCAGGUCCAACCAGAGACGUCAACGUGUGUUCCAGAGCUUCAGUGUGUUACAGAUAAGUGGUUUUGGCUCCCCCUUUAUGUUCCAUUCAGGGUCAGAAUGUAGUCUUAUAAAACAAAGCCAUAGUAAUUUAUUCAAUGGUAAGCGGUUUCAUGAACAAGUCACCGUAGUCACCCUAGACACGUCCUUACGGAUCCAUCAGAUCCAAUAACUCUUGCAUUAGAUACCUUCAGCUCUAACACUAGGAGCAGGCUGAAGAACCCCAGUAAUCGUACUCGUCGAACUCGACAAAUAGGUUGAUGUGCAACCUAACCCAUGCAUCAGCCCACUGAGUUUCUCGCCGGAUCUUCUCAGUGGGUCGCGAUUCCGAUCCGGUAGUAGAUUCAUUCGCGAAGCAAUUGCUCUUGAGUUGUUAGGUCUCCUGCGGAGGCGCUCGGGCAGUUGUUAGCAAAUCCCACCCCUCUUGGCUGAGCCUUUGCUCGCCCACCCGUCCUGGUGAAGCGGGAAAGGCCUCCGGGCCACCAGUAAUCUUUCAAUCAUCUGCAGUUUUGGAAAACGAUAGGUAUAAGUUGAGACAUGUAAAUGGUUCUAGUGUACAAAGUUUCCCAUGAAAACUUACGCGAAGUACCUCGAGGCCCGUCAGGCCUACUAGAAAUUUCUGAAAAUUAUAGUGACGAUGACGUGACGGCGUACACAGAUGGGUUAAGUAAUCUUGUUCAUGAAACUGAUCUUAAUGAUGACGACUCUAUCACUGACAAUAGAAGCGACAUUUUUGUCCGCAAAUAGCGAUACAGCAAACAUAGUCUGUGGGUAGUGAUACAAUGUCUGUAAGCUCAGGCACCUCAGGUGCAGGUGUUGGAAAUGUAGAAAACGAUGGUCGGUCUCGCACUAUUUCUGAAGAAAUUCCGUAUAAAUGUUCUGGUUUAAGAGAUGUUUUAACAAACGCUAACGUACACGCAGAUCAAAAAAAAAAAAAAAAAAAGAGGAAAAAAAAAGAAAUUGUAAGUCAUUGAAGGGUGUAUCCGGUCCAAUGACUUGGCUAAAGGGAUGUUAUCCGGACUAGCAAAAAAAAAAAAAAAAGAGAAAAAAAAUGUAGGUCGUUGAAGGGUGUAUCCGGUCCAACGACUUGGCUAAAGGGAUGUUGAUCCGGACUAGCAAAGAAUAAAAAAAAAAAAAGAGAAAAAAAAAAAAAAGAGAAAAAAAAAGUGUGAAGUCAUUGAAGGGUCUGUCCGGUCCAAUGGCUUGGCUAUAGGGAUUUUCAUCCGGACUAGCCACAACAAUUAGCUACAGGGAUUGCGAUCCGGUCUAGCAUUAUCCGGUCCAGUUCGAAAAACUGAAGGGAUAACAAUUCCGAUUUAAGUUAAAAGGGACAUACUUACAUACCUGAAGAGAUUUAAAUGAACUGGCCCAGGUAUGUAAGCAGUCAGUAUUUAUAGCCAGUAUAGGAUUUUCUGAAGAAUUAUGCGAACCGAACCGUAUUAGAUUGUUAAUAUCAUAGACCACGUUUUAAGUUGCAUCCGUUAAUGUCAGGAUGAACGAAUACGCUUAUUGUCUACAGAACAACCAUAAAAAGGCGCACGAGGACGAGCGCAUGUCAGUAUGGCCGUGACGGCGUUAACAAUAUUUCUAAUAAACAUCACGUGCAACAGGCGUGACUCACACAAGCCGGGUGCGCCGGCCGUGUCGUUCCACUCGUGCAACAGAAGUGACUCAUAAGCCAGCUGCGCCGGCUAGUAUAAAAAGGCGGUGCGUGCCUUGCGAGAAACAUUCGUUGGACUGCGCUUGCCUGGUGCACUUACUAUAUCCUUGUUACGUUGUGUGAUUCAGUGACUGUUGUACGUACUGGUUAAAGUUGGACAAGUGUUAAAGUGAAUUGUUAAGAUAACAUAUUGUUGAUUAAAUCAGGAAUCAAAAA